UGUAACUGCUUUGCAGGGGAAUAAACCCCGCUAUGUAUAGCGGGCUGAAUGUACUCUGAGAAUAAGGAUCGGCUAACUCCGUGCCAGCAGCCGCGGUAAUACGGAGGAUCCGAGCGUUAUCCGGAUUUAUUGGGUUUAAAGGGUGCGUAGGCGGCCUGUUAAGUCAGGGGUGAAAGACGGUAGCUUAACUAUCGCAGUGCCCUUGAUACUGAUGGGCUUGAAUGUAGUUGAGGUAGGCGGAAUGUGACAAGUAGCGGUGAAAUGCAUAGAUAUGUCACAGAACACCGAUUGCGAAGGCAGCUUACUAAAGUAUGAUUGACGCUGAGGCACGAAAGCGUGGGGAUCAAACAGGAUUAGAUACCCUGGUAGUCCACGCCCUAAACGAUGAAUACUCGAUGUUGGCGAUAUAUAGUCAGCGUCAAAGCGAAAGCGUUAAGUAUUCCACCUGGGGAGUACGCCCGCAAGGGUGAAACUCAAAGGAAUUGACGGGGGCCCGCACAAGCGGAGGAGCAUGUGGUUUAAUUCGAUGAUACGCGAGGAACCUUACCCGGGCUUGAAAGUUAGUGAAUGGAGCAGAGACGCUCCAGUUCUUCGGAACACGAAACUAGGUGCUGCAUGGCUGUCGUCAGCUCGUGCCGUGAGGUGUUGGGUUAAGUCCCGCAACGAGCGCAACCCCUAUGUUUAGUUGCCAGCACGUAAAGGUGGGGACUCUAAACAGACUGCCUAUGCAAAUAGAGAGGAAGGAGGGGACGACGUCAAGUCAUCAUGGCUCUUACGUCCGGGGCUACACACGUGCUACAAUGGGCAGUACAGAGGGCAGCUACCUGGCAACAGGAUGCCAAUCUCAAAAAGCUGUUCACAGUUCGGAUCGGGGUCUGCAACUCGACCCCAUGAAGUCGGAGUCGCUAGUAAUCGCAGAUCAGCAACGCUGCGGUGAAUACGUUCCCGGGCCUUGUACACACCGCCCGUCACGUCACGAAAGUCGGCAACACCCGAAGCCGGUGGCCUAACCCUUGGGAGGGAGCCGUCGAAGGU
RNAcentral lists this ribosomal RNA (1035 nucleotides) under uncultured bacterium. RNAcentral describes it as "bacterial SSU rRNA". It matches the Rfam family "Bacterial small subunit ribosomal RNA", at positions 424 to 1463 of the family's 1533-position model. The record is from RNAcentral.